CUGAAGAAGGAAGAGUACUUGAACAAAGUAUCACACGCAAUGAAUGAGAGUGCUGAUCAUCACUCACACUCACACGCGGAACACGAUCAGAAUAAUCCUUCCCUAAUUUCUCAGGCCUCCAAUGUCAUUCAACAGACAGGAGGGCAAGUGAAGAAUAUGGCACAAGGAGCAGCGGACGCUGUGAAGAACACUCUUGGGAUGAGUCCAGCCACUAACAACCCUAGCAGCCCGGCGGGCACGACCCGCCCGAGCAACCAUAGCUCCAAAAAUCUUUAAAAGAAGUUGUUUUAAGAAAUUGUUGGCCUGAUCUUCUCAACAUAAAUAAAAACUUUUUCAUUGUGUUUGGUUUGCUCUAUUUCUUCUCUGAUUUUUUUUUUUUGUAUUUUUGUUAUUGUAAGUUGAGACAUUAUUACUCAUCAUAAAUUUAGUAAGGGCUUUAUUUAUCUUAUGAAUGAUCGUCAAAUAAUAUCAUCUAUUUCUUUUUAA
RNA transcript from Raphanus sativus (radish), 486 nucleotides. RefSeq lists it as uncharacterized. The transcript has 2 exons. NCBI's taxonomy places the organism in Eukaryota, Viridiplantae, Streptophyta, Magnoliopsida, Brassicales, Brassicaceae. The record is from RefSeq and is a predicted model, not a curated record.